Molecule: long non-coding RNA, 406 nt
Organism: Saccostrea echinata
Lineage: Eukaryota; Metazoa; Mollusca; Bivalvia; Ostreida; Ostreidae
Exons: 3
Source: RefSeq, a predicted model, not a curated record
GCUCACCUUGACGAAGUCGAGAUGAGCUUAUGCUAUACCCCUGGCGUCGGCGUCCCAGGUUAAAGUUUUAGGAGCAAGUCCCAUUCCCAAGUAACUAUAAGCCCUACUUGGACCAAACUUGCAUGGAUGAUGCAUCUAGGGAUGGACACUACCACACUUGCUUCGGAUGCUGGAUCUGAUGAGCAGGUCCAUUCCCAAGUAACUAUAAGCCCUACCUGGACCAAACUUGCAUGGAUGAUGCAUCUAGGGAUGGACACUACCACACUUGCUUCGGAUGCUGGAUCUGAUGAACAAGUCCAUUUCUAAGUAACUAUAAGCCCUAUCUGAACCAAACUUGCAUGAAUGAUGCAUCUAGGAAUUGACACUAUCAGACUUGCUUCGGAUGCUGAAUCUGAUCUACAUUUUU